UACGGGGGGAGCAAGCGUUGUUCGGAUUUACUGGGCGUAAAGGGCGCGUAGGCGGUCAGCACAAGUCAGUUGUGAAAUCUCCGGGCUUAACUCGGAAAGGUCAACUGAUACUGUGCGACUAGAGUGCAGAAGGGGCAACUGGAAUUCUCGGUGUAGCGGUGAAAUGCGUAGAUAUCGAGAGGAACACCAGUAGCGAAGGCGGCUCGCUGGGCCGUUCCUGACGCUGAGACGCGAAAGCUAGGGGAGCGAACAGG
Molecule: ribosomal RNA, 254 nt
Filed under: uncultured bacterium
Lineage: Bacteria
Description: partial 16S ribosomal RNA
Rfam family: Bacterial small subunit ribosomal RNA
Source: RNAcentral